This 383-nucleotide long non-coding RNA is filed under the name Trifolium pratense (red clover). Its description in RNAcentral is "long non-coding RNA (TPRA_LNC005152)". Lineage: Eukaryota; Viridiplantae; Streptophyta; Magnoliopsida; Fabales; Fabaceae. The record is from RNAcentral.
UUGAUAUUCAUAAUUGAAGAUACAAAGCAGAGUAAAAACCUAUUGCUCUAUCUAAUGCCCUUUAAGCAGUGGUAGAACUCGGAAAUAAAAUGCAUGUGGACCGUUAAAAAAGUUACUAUAAAUUCAAUACAAAAAUUAGGCAAAAGUUAUGGUGCAUAAGUAACAAACUUAUGCAUGGUGCAUAAGUGAAUGUCCACCAUCAGAUCAAAUAACACGUGUAAUAAUCCCCCGCCCCUCUUAGCUCACACUCUCUCAGGUCUAAGCAUCACGCAUCAUCUCGCCAAAUUCAUUGCUACUUGUUUAUGCAAUUCUUCAUCCAUUUUCCUAAAUUCAUUACUCACUGUUUACCUCGCCGUUGUUCUUGAAUAUCUCGCCGUUGAGGU